UGGAUUUCCCAAGAUCCGUGAU
Molecule: microRNA, 22 nt
Filed under: Haliotis rufescens (red abalone)
Lineage: Eukaryota; Metazoa; Mollusca; Gastropoda; Lepetellida; Haliotidae
Also listed under: 9 other names
Description: hru-miR-1986
Source: miRBase by way of RNAcentral